This 24-nucleotide non-coding RNA is filed under the name Arabidopsis thaliana (thale cress). Lineage: Eukaryota; Viridiplantae; Streptophyta; Magnoliopsida; Brassicales; Brassicaceae. The record is from RNAcentral.
UGCCCUUAGAUGUUCUGGGCCGCA